UACGGGGGGGGCAAGCGUUGUUCGGAAUUACUGGGCGUAAAGGGCUUGUAGGUGGCCAACUAAGUCAGACGUGAAAUCCCUCGGCUUAACCGGGGAACUGCGUCUGAUACUGGAUGGCUAGAGUUUGGGAGAGGGAUGCGGAAUUCCAGGUGUAGCGGUGAAAUGCGUAGAUAUCUGGAGGAACACCGGUGGCGAAGGCGGCAUCCUGGACCGGCAUUGACGCUGAGGCGCGAAAGCCAGGGGAGCAAACGGG
RNAcentral lists this ribosomal RNA (253 nucleotides) under uncultured bacterium. RNAcentral describes it as "partial 16S ribosomal RNA". It matches the Rfam family "Bacterial small subunit ribosomal RNA", at positions 524 to 776 of the family's 1533-position model. The record is from RNAcentral.